UGUGCCUACGGGACGCAGCAGUGAGGAAUAUUGGUCAAUGGCCGGAAGGCUGAACCAGCCAAGUCGCGUGAGGGAAUAAGGCCCUAUGGGUCGUAAACCUCUUUUGUCAGGGAGCAAAGGCGUCCACGUGUGGACGAGAGGAGAGUACGUGUAGAAAAAGCAUCGGCUAACUCCGUGCCAGCAGGCGCGGUAAUACGGAGGAUGCGAGCGUUAUCUGGCUUUAUUGGGUUUAA
Molecule: ribosomal RNA, 233 nt
Filed under: uncultured bacterium
Lineage: Bacteria
Description: partial 16S ribosomal RNA
Rfam family: Bacterial small subunit ribosomal RNA
Source: RNAcentral